Long non-coding RNA from Pyrgilauda ruficollis (rufous-necked snowfinch), 3242 nucleotides. RefSeq lists it as uncharacterized. The transcript has 4 exons. The record is from RefSeq and is a predicted model, not a curated record. Lineage: Eukaryota; Metazoa; Chordata; Aves; Passeriformes; Passeridae.
CCACCCUCUGCUCGCCGCUCUGUCCCGUCCCCCCCACCCAUCCAAAAAAAAAAAAAAUCCCUCACUCUUUUCUGCCUCUCAGACAAUUUCUUCUUCUUCUAUUUUUUUUCUUUUUUUUUGGCGUUUCGAGGAAGUUUUCAGCAAAUCCACCCUCGCUCCCAGCUCUCGCAGGGCGCGAUAACACCGGAGCCCUCUGAAAGUUUGAGAAAAAGAGAGGAGGAGAAGCAGGGAGCGGGGAAAUAAAGAGCAGCGCCUAAGGAAGAGCGAGGAGACGCGCGGGAGCCGGAGGCUGCCCAGCCGGCAUCACCUCCCGGUGUCCCCUGAGGUCCCCCCGCAGCCCCGAGGGACGGGAAUCGCGGAGCGCUCGCUCUCGGCCUCCGGGGCUGGAGCAGCCCGGAUCCCGCUGCUGCUGCCGGGGAAUGAGACACAGCCGGGAGCGGGAGGAUGAGGGGGCACAGGACCAGCACACGCAGAAAUGCGGACAGACACACGUAAAUACAGACUAAACGUGCAGUGCGACCGCACGAGUGCUGGGAUCCAAGAGUUCCUCGUGAAUAAACGUGGCUGUUUGUGCACGGAAAUACCCCCAGGCACAGCACAAAAAUCGCGCGCGUGGAUGUGCAGGUGACGAGAUCUUCACAAACACUUGCCCAACAGCGUUUCCUCCAGCUCAAGCCAUCCCUGCCCCAUCCGCUAUUGGUUUUAUAUGGAUAUUUACGUUUUACCCAGGGUUUAAAGGCAGAUUUUUAGGUGCACACAAGCCUUAAUCUACCCCCACCCUCCGCCCAGCUCAGUGGGAGUGGGCGCAAAUCUACGCAGAAGGCGGGCGAGUGGAUCGGCGUGGACGCACCGCCUAUGCACCACACUGUCCCUACAUAUAUAUAUAUAUAUUUAUAUAUAAUCCAGAAACAGAAAUCCCCCACACGCAUUCCCCAGCAGCCACGGCCCCAAGCACCGUGGAGCACUUACCUCCGUGGGGGUGGCUGCUCCGUGCCUGUCCCCCCGAGUUCCGCGCAGCCCUGCCGGGCUCCCUCCCGGUUUUUUAGCUCCUGGGGCGCGCAGGACCCGGCCCGGGCAGCCCCGGGCGGCGGGGAGCCCCGGCUGGGGAGCCCCGCAUGCCGGAGCCCCGCACGGCCCCUGCAGGGUGUCCCUGGCCCGGAGCUUUCUCCUUGCGGGAAUUCCCGGGCAGCUGCAGGGAGGGGGAUGGCCGGGGUGCUGGCUCGCAGUGGGGUCGAGGUGUCAGCAGUAAGAAAUAGUGCCGAGCGUGAACUCACUCUCCCCCCGCCCGCCCUCCACACCCCUUUAAAAUCACUUUUUGGGUCGGCUUAACCAAAUCGAAGAGGCUUUUGCUUUUCUUUCGCGGCUCCUCGUCCUGCCCAGGACGGGGCAGCGCGGCCGCCCGGCUUAUGAAAUACAGAGACAUCAGCGCUUGUGGCUUCCCGACGCUUUUUUUUUUCCUCCUUGCCAUAUUUUCAGAGAAAAUCAGCUCCCUCCUAGCAGGGAUUAUUAUUUUUCCUUUCCAUUUUUAGAUAAUUUACUUCCCCUCUCGGACCAGUUCUCUUUUUGCUUUUAUUUUCCUUUUGUUGGCCGCUUUUCGCUUUGGCGAAAUACGCACCUGGGAGCAAACAAGUGUUUAAAAUAAUCCUCCUCUCUGGAAGCAUUUUUGUCCAUUCACUUAUUGGUUUGUAUUUUUUUUUUUAAUAUGUGUUGGGUUUUUCCUCCCAAUUGUUUCCUAUUUUCUUUCCCCUCAGUCGUGGGGGCAGGGACUGACUGCACUGAUCUGAGAGUUGGUAUCAACAAAAUAUUUGUAUGAAAGUCCCACCAAUACAGUUCUGUGGUGUCAUUAUUUCCAUUACAAAAUCCUGUAUUUAUUGCUGGAGAAUUGCUUCAGACGAGCCUUCGGGGGUAGAUACCUGGCUCGAGCUUUUUUCUUUUUCUUUUCUUUUUUUUUUAAAUUUUUUUUUCCUUUUUUGCAUUACAGGUGAAUAGCAUUUUUCUUUUACAGUUUGUGGUUUCGGUUGUUUUGGAUUUGGCUUUUGUUAGUUUGUUGGGGUUUUUUUCCCGCCCUUCUGGCUACCUUAAGAAAAAAAAAAUUGCAAUUAAAACCCUUUUCCCCUCCCUGAGCCCAUUAAUUUCCCAGGCGAGCUGCAGGCUUUGGAACGGUGACGAAAAUGAAAAAGAAGGAGCCGGGCAGAGGCAGGGCUUGGCGAGGCGCGGGCACAGCGCUGCCCUUCCGCACCUCCCACGCGUGGGGUGAAGAUCCCUUUUCCUCCUGGAUGCCAAGCAGUGCGUGAGGAUCCCCAAAUUAAUCCCCAAUGGAGCAGAAGGGAUCCAUUCUCUUCUCCCCGAUCCCUCCAAAAGACAUCUCUCAGGGAGGGGACUCCGGGGAGACAGGGGUCCACCACCCCCUCCCCAGUUUUUCCCCAGUGUUGCUCAGGAAAAGAGGGAAUUGUGCUGCAUUUCUCUUCGUGCCCAUUGCCGUGGGGGAUUUUUUGGCACGGGGCAUCCCCGCUCCAUUCCCCCCGCGGGCACGGCCGGGCUGAUCUGCUCUGCCCAACCAGGGCGUCAGUCAGGGCCUCAUCUCGGCCCCGAGGAGAAAAUAAAAGCUGAUAAGGCCUUCGCUCUCUUCGCUGCCUGGGCAGAAACGAAAUGGGGGCAAAAAAGGGGAAAUCCUCAGCGCCCCGUGCCUCUCCCUGAGAGCGAUCCUGCCCUGACCUUGGAGGGCGAGCGGGGGUGGCAAAAGGAGCCCGAUCCCGCAGGGUUUGAAUCUUUUCUGUGUCUGAUAAAAAGCCUCAAAGCAUCACCUGUGAAUGUUUUUCCUUCCCUCGCUCUCCCGGGGAGAGCAGCCCUGGGCGGGGGGAACCCCCGGGCAUCCCCAGUUCCCUCAUCCCGGCCGAAUUUCUUCCUCCCUUUCUCUCCAACUCAUUUUUCUUUCCCUCUUUUCUCCUUUCCAAGCCCUCUCGCCUCUUUUCUUCCCCAUUUUCUGUUUCCCCCCCCCUUUUCUCGCCCCCGGUCGCUUUUCUUCCCCUGCCCUAAAUAACGCCGAACGACAGCGCAGCGCGGCCGCUCUGGAUAUCCACAUUAUCCUUUGUAUUCCCGGCUAUCCACGAAUUUCGGGAGCGGGAGACGCUCCCAGAGAGGCGGGGGGUGGCUGUGGGCUCGGCCUUGGACCGGUAUCACGAGCAUCCUAAAAUCCAUUUUUAUCUCUGCGGGAAAAAUACAGAUUAUAUCAAUAACCCAAA